CCUAUGAUUACGUUAUAAAUUUAAAAAAUUGGUAAUAAAUAGAUAUUGAUAUAAUUAUUUAUAUAUCUAUGAUGUGAAAAAGCUAUAUGUGUUGGACGGAAUAGUUUCAGCUUGUUGAGAAAUUGCUGCAAAGUUGCUAGCUGUUACAAGUCAUUCUAAUUUGUAUUCAUAGAUAACUUGAUAUCAUUCAGCUUCUUAAAUUAAGUCUGGUGUUUACACUAUCAAAGUUCCUG
Paramuricea clavata is the source of this 233-nucleotide non-coding RNA. NCBI's taxonomy places the organism in Eukaryota, Metazoa, Cnidaria, Anthozoa, Malacalcyonacea, Plexauridae. The record is from the annotation of a GenBank genome assembly.